RNAcentral lists this ribosomal RNA (1480 nucleotides) under uncultured bacterium. RNAcentral's name for it is "bacterial SSU rRNA". It matches the Rfam family "Bacterial small subunit ribosomal RNA". The record is from RNAcentral.
AGAGUUUGAUCCUGGCUCAGGACGAACGCUGGCGGCGUGCCUAACACAUGCAAGUCGAGCGAAUGAAAUUCCUUCGGGAACGGAUUUAGCGGCGGACGGGUGAGUAACACGUGGGCAACCUGCCUCAUAGAGGGGAAUAGCCUUCCGAAAGGGAGAUUAAUACCGCAUAAGAUUGUAGUACCGCAUGGUACAGCAAUUAAAGGAGCAAUCCGCUAUGAGAUGGGCCCGCGGCGCAUUAGCUAGUUGGUGAGGUAACGGCUCACCAAGGCGACGAUGCGUAGCCGACCUGAGAGGGUGAUCGGCCACAUUGGGACUGAGACACGGCCCAGACUCCUACGGGAGGCAGCAGUGGGGAAUAUUGCACAAUGGGGGAAACCCUGAUGCAGCAACGCCGCGUGAGUGAUGACGGCCUUCGGGUUGUAAAGCUCUGUCUUCAGGGACGAUAAUGACGGNACCUGAGGAGGAAGCCACGGCUAACUACGUGCCAGCAGCCGCGGUAAUACGUAGGUGGCGAGCGUUGUCCGGANUUACUGGGCGUAAAGGGAGCGUAAGCGGAUUUUUAAGUGAGAUGUGAAAUACUCGGGCUUAACCUGAGUGCUGCAUUUCAAACUGGAAGUCUAGAGUGCAGGAGAGGAGAAGGGAAUUCCUAGUGUAGCGGUGAAAUGCGUAGAGAUUAGGAAGAACACCAGUGGCGAAGGCGCUUUCUCUGGGACUGUAACUGACGCUGAGGCUCGAAGCGUGGGGAGCCAACAGGAUUAGAUACCCUGGUAGUCCACGCCGUAAACGAUGAAAUACUAGGUGUAGGGGGUUGUCAUGACCUCUGUGCCGCCGCAACGCAUUAAGUAUUCCGCCUGGGGAUACGGUCGCAAGAUUAAAACUCAAAGGAAUGACGGGGGCCCGCACAAGCAGCGGAGCAUGUGGUUUAAUUCGAAGCAACGCGAAGAACCUUACCUGGNNNUNNNAUCUNNNGCANUNNNCUUNAUCGAGGAAGUCUCUUCNGNGNNAGGAUGACAGGUGGUGCAUGGNUGUCGUCAGCUCGUGUCGUGAGAUGUUGGGUUAAGUCCCGCAACGAGCGCAACCCUUAUUGUUAGUUGCCAUCAUUAAGUUGGGCACUCUAGCGAGACUGCCCGGGUUAACCGGGAGGAAGGUGGGGAUGACGUCAAAUCAUCAUGCCCCUUAUGUCUAGGGCUACACACGUGCUACAAUGGUCGGUACAAUAAGACGCAAGCCCGCGAGGGGGAGCAAAACUGGAAAACCGAUCUCAGUUCGGAUUGUAGGCUGAAACUCGCCUACAUGAAGCUGGAGUUGCUAGUAAUCGCGAGUCAGCAUGUCGCGGUGAAUACGUUCCCGGGCCUUGUACACACCGCCCGUCACACCAUGAGAGUUGGCAAUACCCAAAGUACGUGAUCUAACCCGCAAGGGAGGAAGCGUCCUAAGGUAGGGUCAGCGAUUGGGGUGAAGUCGUAACAAGGUAGCCGUA